CCUACGGGAGGCAGCAGUGGGGAAUAUUGGACAAUGGGGGAAACCCUGAUCCAGCGACGCCGCGUGAGUGAAGAAGUAUUUCGGUACGUAAAGCUCUAUCAGCAGGAAAGAAAAUGACGGACCUGACCAAAGAACCCCCGGCAAAUAACGGCCCAGAAGCACAGGUAUACCGGAGGGGGAAAGGGUAUUCCGGAUUAACGGGGGGUAAAGGGAGGGUAGAGGGCGGGCAAAGUCUGGAGUGAAAGGCCGGGGCCCAACCCCGGAACUGGUCUGGAAACUGGGAAGCUGGAGUGCAGGAGAGGUAAGCGGAAUUCCUGGUGUAGCGGUGAAAUGCGUAGAUAUCAGGAGGAACACCGGCGGCGAAGGCGGCUUACUGGACUGUAACUGACGUUGAGGCUCGAAGGCGUGGGGAGCAAACAGGAUUAGAUACCCCGGUAGUC
RNAcentral lists this ribosomal RNA (440 nucleotides) under uncultured bacterium. Its description in RNAcentral is "partial 16S ribosomal RNA". It matches the Rfam family "Bacterial small subunit ribosomal RNA", at positions 338 to 795 of the family's 1533-position model. The record is from RNAcentral.